RNAcentral lists this ribosomal RNA (84 nucleotides) under Muribaculaceae bacterium. Lineage: Bacteria; Pseudomonadati; Bacteroidota; Bacteroidia; Bacteroidales; Muribaculaceae. The record is from RNAcentral.
CACCUCUUCCCAUUCCGAACAGAGAAGUUAAGCCUCACCACGCCGAUGGUACUGCGAAAGUGGGAGAGUAGGUAACCGCCCCCU